UCAUGCCUCGCGAUAAGUGAACGGUAGUGUCACCGAGCAAGUGAAUCGUGUCCUUCCAGGUUUGCCUCAUUCUCUCACUCGGCUGUGUGUUCUGGUGCUACUAUCACUGCGGAAUGUUUCCGCACAGGGUGCCUAUAGGGAAAAGCUGAGAAUUCGGUCCGGUUGGCCGCCGUCUCUGAUAACACGCCCGAUUUUUCAGUCAGUACGUGAAGUUGCGAGGUUACAAUGACUCUAUUUCGCAUACACCGUUAUGCAGCUAUCACAAGUCUACUGGCGGGCGCACAAGGAUUCCAGAGUGCAACCCCGGACCGGUUUCAUGCAAACGGCGCGAAGAGGCAAGGACGACACGCUCCCGGAGAAACAGAGGGCCCGGCACAAUGAAAGCAGCCGUUGGUGCGCAGGGAAAGGCGCUGCCAGAUUCCGCGCUUUUUUCUGCUGAGUUCCCGUGGGCCAGCUUCGGGGUGAAGCCGUUGGAGGAUGCAGUAGAAGUGGCGAAGAAUCCACGGUAUGCUGGAGAAUGACUGCCUUCGCCGGCUAGAGAAAGCAGCUCCGCCGAACUAAAGAAUGUCUGUUGACAAUUCAUGCUUUCUUCCUUU
Long non-coding RNA from Dermacentor andersoni, 596 nucleotides. RefSeq lists it as uncharacterized. The record is from RefSeq and is a predicted model, not a curated record. Lineage: Eukaryota; Metazoa; Arthropoda; Arachnida; Ixodida; Ixodidae.